AUUGAACGCUGGCGGCAGGCCUAACACAUGCAAGUCGAACGAGUGGCGGACGGGUUAGUAAUGUCUGGUAAACUGCCUGCUGGAGGGGGAUAACUACUGAAAACGGUAUCUACUACCGCCUACCAUCGGAUGUGCCCAAAUGGGAUUAGCUGGUAGGUGGGGUAAAGGCUCCCCUAGGCGACGAUCCCUAGCUGGUCUGAGAGGAUGACCAGCCACACUGGAACUGAGGCACGGUCCAGACUCCUACGGGAGGCAGCAGGGGGGAAUAUUGCACAAUGGGCGCAAGCCUGAUGCAGCCAUGCCGCGUGUAUGAAGAAGGCCUUCGGGGUGUAAAGUACUUUCAGCGGGGAGGCGUUACCCGCAGAAGAAGCACCGGCUAACGCCGUGCCAGCAGCCGCGGUAAUUC
RNAcentral lists this ribosomal RNA (406 nucleotides) under uncultured bacterium. RNAcentral's name for it is "partial 16S ribosomal RNA". It matches the Rfam family "Bacterial small subunit ribosomal RNA", at positions 30 to 526 of the family's 1533-position model. The record is from RNAcentral.